CAGCCAUACCAUGCUGAAUAUACCGAUCACCGAAGUCAAGCAUCAUUGGGCGCGGUCAGUACUUGGGUGGGUGACCACCUGGGAACACCGCGUGCCGUU
This is a non-coding RNA of Caerostris darwini, 99 nucleotides long. The record is from the annotation of a GenBank genome assembly. NCBI's taxonomy places the organism in Eukaryota, Metazoa, Arthropoda, Arachnida, Araneae, Araneidae.